This 339-nucleotide unclassified non-coding RNA is filed under the name soil metagenome. RNAcentral describes it as "partial contains 5.8S ribosomal RNA, internal transcribed spacer 2, and large subunit ribosomal RNA". The stretch from base 1 to 120 matches the Rfam family "5.8S ribosomal RNA", at positions 35 to 154 of the family's 154-position model. The record is from RNAcentral.
GAUGAAGAACGUAGCGAAAUGCGAUACGUAGUGUGAAUUGCAGAAUUCAGUGAAUCAUCGAAUCUUUGAACGCACAUUGCACCUCUCGGUAUUCCGGGAGGUAUGCCUGUUCGAGCGUCAUUUGUACCCUCAAGCUCUGCUUGGUGUUGGGUGUUUGUUCCGCCUCUGUGUGUGAACUCGCCUCAAAACAAUUGGCAGCCGGCGUACUUGUUUCGGAGCGCAGCACAUUUUGCGAUCCAGAUCAACGUACAGCGGCAUCCAAGAAGCCUUAUUUAACGCUCUUGACCUCGGAUCAGGUAGGGAUACCCGCUGAACUUAAGCAUAUCAAUAAUCGGAGGA